This 215-nucleotide long non-coding RNA is filed under the name Elaeis guineensis (African oil palm). RNAcentral's name for it is "long non-coding RNA (EGUI_LNC063900)". Lineage: Eukaryota; Viridiplantae; Streptophyta; Magnoliopsida; Arecales; Arecaceae. The record is from RNAcentral.
CCUCCCCACCAUUCCCUCCAUCAUGCACAGCCACCUUCGAUAGCCUCUAUAGUAUUUUUUUUCUCUUCCAGCACUGAACAGUAUAGUGACACAUCACUGUACCUAUCAGACCAGAUCAUUUCUUCUUUUAAUACCUCCCAAACAUACUCUAAAGACUAGACCAUUCUUGCACCUCUCCUCUCCCUCUCUAUUUUUUCCUCUAUUUUUUUCAUAUU